Astatotilapia calliptera (eastern happy) is the source of this 757-nucleotide long non-coding RNA. Lineage: Eukaryota; Metazoa; Chordata; Actinopteri; Cichliformes; Cichlidae. The record is from Ensembl.
GAAAAAAGUUUUAAAAUCGAAGGUAAACAAUAUGAUGCAUUAUCAGCCAUUUUGUUGAAUAACAGGAUGUGACGGAGUAAUCCGUGUGUGCUAUACCGCCCCUCCCGACCCGGAGCAGAUUUUUAAAAAGUUUUGCUUUAUUUCUCGACAGAGGUAAUCGAGAAUAUACAGACCCCGCCGCAGCGAAAAGAAGAAGAAGAAGACGACGACGUUAUUUUCGUCAACGCAUACCGGGAGAACUGCAGGAAAAUACCUUUUAAACCAAAAGGUAAACAAUAUGAUGCAAUAUCCGUCAUUUCGAUAAAUAUCAGGAUGUGGCGGAGUAAUCCGAGUGUGCUAUACCACCCCUCCCGACUUGGAGUGGUAUAAAGCGAGCUAAAAAGUUUUUUUUUUUUUUUUUUUUUUUUUUAUUAAAUCUUUCUCUUUUUGUUUUAUUUCUCGGCAGCCGAGAUUGCUGAUAUACCUAUUCAAGCCCCCUCCGCUACAGACAAUCGCGCGGAGGAGCGAGGUAAAUAAAAAGUUUUUUUCAUUCUCGAAAAAUAGGAAAGAGGAGGUUGUUUUCUUAAAUCUCUUCUGUUUUAUUUCUCGGCAGCCGAGAUUGCGGAUUUACCUAACCAAUCCCCCGCCGCUACAGACAAUCGGGCGGAGGAGCGAGAGACCGAUACAGAAAAUCAGACGGAAGAAAAUCAGGCUGAGGAGGAACCGUUCAGAUCGCCUCCUCUCAGGAGAGUGAGAGCUCCUCUCGGAAGACUGAGAG